Molecule: long non-coding RNA, 1064 nt
Organism: Dermacentor silvarum
Lineage: Eukaryota; Metazoa; Arthropoda; Arachnida; Ixodida; Ixodidae
Exons: 3
Source: RefSeq, a predicted model, not a curated record
UGACGGUGGUGGAGGUCCUGCUGCACGACCCGCUCUCCUCGUGGACCUUGAGCCCCGAACGUGUGGCAGCAUUGCAGGCUGACGGCGCCCCCCCCCCUCAGCGCCCAUCCCCAGAGUUGCCCUACAUGCAAGGGGACAAUCGGCUGGCGCGGCGCAUGCUCCUGCGGCUGGAGCAAAAGCUGCGAGGCCUGGAGGAGGGCGCGCCCUUGAGCGUAGCAGGACAGGUGAACCUGCUCAUCCAGCAGGCCAGGGACCCACACAACCUGAGCCGCCUGUUUCCUGGCUGGCAGCCCUACGUCUGAGCAUCAGGGACAGCUCCCAUUGUGGAAGUUCCAGCUGCACAUUUCACUACCUCGAGGUUGUCCCAGGGCUGCCAUCAUCAUCAGCUGCUGCUGACUUGAGCUCACUUGAACAAUGGUGGCUACACUGCCAGCUGUGCCAUCCACUGUGGAAACCAACCUGCCUGUUGCUUAGCCCAAUUGUAGUGGUGGCCAUAUUGGAAAGUGACCUGACAUGUUCUGUACUUAUUGAAACAGUUGAAAUAAGAAAGUGUUUAUGGGUGCCUAAAGUUAAGUGAAUACUGUGAAUAUCUGGAGCAGGUUCUUUGGUUUCUUUCUUUUUUUUUGUAUGUAUUGCGAAUUCAGUAGCUUGGGAAAGCACCUUGCAAAUUAUACUAUACUACAUUCAAAAGUAAGCAGUGAAUGGUUUUUAUAGCUAUUGCACAUCACAAGCUUUGGUACAGAGUGAAUUUCGAGAUGCUAGGAAAGUAUUGUGCUACAGGAGGGCCAGGGCGGUGUAAAGCCACUCUGUUUCCCGAGGAAGGCCUUGUGCACUGUGGUGAUGCAUGUUUGUGCUGUCAGCAUGAUAUGAGAACCCCUAAAAUAUUGCCGCCCUGUUUACUGUAGUUGAUGAUCUGCCACCAUAAUACGCAGCAUGCAUGUGCAAGUUGUCACACAAGGGUUUAAUGUGCCUUGCCAUGUAAGUUAAAGCACUGGAUGUGGUCAUGUUCCCAAUAUGUUUUGUUUAGCUGUAAUUCUCUCUUCUUUAAAAUCUGUUGGGUGCCU